This 293-nucleotide ribosomal RNA is filed under the name uncultured eukaryote. RNAcentral describes it as "partial 18S ribosomal RNA". It matches the Rfam family "Eukaryotic small subunit ribosomal RNA", at positions 6 to 298 of the family's 1831-position model. The record is from RNAcentral.
GGUUGAUCCUGCCAGUGGAAUAUGCUUGUUUCAAAGAUUAAGCCAUGCAUGUGCAAGCAUGCGCUGAAGUAAAGUGAAGCCGCGAAUAGCUCAUUACAACAGCCGUAGUUUCUUGGAUCUCAUCUCUACUUGGAUAACUGUGGUAAUUCUAGAGCUAAUACAUGCAAACGAGCUCCGACCUUGCGGGACGAGCGCAUUUAUUAGAACAAAACCAUCCGGACUCUCGCGAGUCCGUUGCUGGUGACUCUGAAUAACUGAGCCAAUCGCACAGUCUAGCACUGGCGAUGCAUCUU